UCCGGCUUAACACCGGCAGUCUCCCUAGAGUCCCCAACUUAAUGAUGGUAACUAAGGAUAGGGGUUGCGCUCGUUGCCGGACUUAACCGAACAUUUCACAACACGAGCUGACGACAGCCAUGCAGCACCUGUCUUCUUGUCCCCGAAGGGAAAGCCGUAUCUCUACGGUUGUCAAGAGAUGUCAAGGCCAGGUAAGGUUCUUCGCGUUGCUUCGAAUUAAACCACAUACUCCACCGCUUGUGCGGGCCCCCGUCAAUUCCUUUGAGUUUUAGCCUUGCGACCGUACUCCCCAGGCGGGUUACUUAAUGCGUGAGCUUUGGUACUCGCUGGGUUAAUCCAGCAAACACCUAGUAACCAUCGUUUAUGGUGCGGACUAC
Molecule: unclassified non-coding RNA, 377 nt
Filed under: uncultured Oligoflexaceae bacterium
Lineage: Bacteria; Pseudomonadati; Bdellovibrionota; Oligoflexia; Oligoflexales; Oligoflexaceae
Description: contains 16S-23S intergenic spacer region
Source: RNAcentral